Molecule: ribosomal RNA, 387 nt
Filed under: uncultured bacterium
Lineage: Bacteria
Description: bacterial SSU rRNA
Rfam family: Bacterial small subunit ribosomal RNA
Source: RNAcentral
AAUGAACGCUGGCGGCGCGCCUAAUACAUGCAAGUCGAGCGAGAAGACGUAGCAAUACGUUUGUAAAGCGGCGAACGGGUGAGGAAUACAUGGGUAACCUACCCUCGAGUGGGGAAUAACUAGCCGAAAGGUUAGCUAAUACCGCGUACGCUCCUUGGACUUCGGUUCAGGGAGGAAAGCGAUACCGUGGGUAUCGCGCUCUUGGUUGGGCUCAUGUCCUAUCAGCUUGUUGGUGAGGAACGGCUCACCAAGGCUUCGACGGGUAGCUGGUCUGAGAGGACGAUCAGCCACACUGGCACUGCGACNCGGGCCAGACUCCUACGGGAGCAGCAGUAAGGAAUAUUGCGCAAUGGGCGAAAGCCUGACGCAGCGACGCCGCGUGGGGGA